RNAcentral lists this ribosomal RNA (380 nucleotides) under uncultured eukaryote. RNAcentral's name for it is "partial 18S ribosomal RNA". It matches the Rfam family "Eukaryotic small subunit ribosomal RNA", at positions 592 to 976 of the family's 1831-position model. The record is from RNAcentral.
CAAUAGCGUAUAUUAAAGUUGUUGCAGUUAAAAAGCUCGUAGUUGGAUUUGUGGCUGUCACGGGCGGCCUAUCACUUAGUGUUAGUGCUUGCCUGUGUCGCCAUCCUUGGGUGGAGCCCGUGUGGCAUUAGGUUGUCGUGCGGGGGAUGCCCAUCGUUUACUGUGAGAAAAUUAGAGUGUUCAAAGCAGGCUUAUGCCAUUGAAUAUGUUAGCAUGGAAUAAUAAGAUAGGACCUCGGUACUAUUUUGUUGGUUUGCGCACCGAGGUAAUGAUUAAUAGGGACAGUUGGGGGUAUUCGUAUUUCAUUGUCAGAGGUGAAAUUCCUGGAUUUCUGAAAGACGAACUACUGCGAAAGCAUUUACCAAGGAUGUUUUCAUUAA